Molecule: long non-coding RNA, 1138 nt
Organism: Triplophysa dalaica
Lineage: Eukaryota; Metazoa; Chordata; Actinopteri; Cypriniformes; Nemacheilidae
Exons: 3
Source: RefSeq, a predicted model, not a curated record
UCUGACAGCGAAAAGUUGUUCAUCACUGGCGUCAGUUCUCAGAUCAAACUCCUCAAAUCUGACAGAACUGAACCUGAGUCACAAUAAUCUGAAGGAUUCAGGAGUGAAGCUGCUCUCUGAUGGACUGAAGAAUACAAACUGUAAACUGAAGACACUAGAUCUGUAUGAGUGCAGUAUUGGAUCUGAAGGUUGUGUUGCUCUGACUUCAGCUCUGAGAUCAAACCCCUCACAUCUGACACAACUGGAUCUGAGAUAUAAUAAUCCAGAAGAUUCAGUAGUGAAGCUGAUCUCUGAUCUACUGAAGGAUCCACACUGUCAACUACAGACACUACUUAUUGAGCCUCAACUGUUACAAUCACAUGCAGAGUGAAAGGAUUCACUUCAUUCAGUGAAGAUCAUCUGUGCCUUUUCCUCUUUGAAGACUGUGACAUCAACUGUGUGUGAAGCCCUUAAAGUGUAGAGUUAUGUUUAAUGUAAAAAUAGUAUUAUAAUUGUAAUUUGUAUAACAUUCUGAUCUCAUAUUCUGUAUCAUCCUGUAGUCUCUGAGCUCCUAAAGUCUGGUGUGUGUCUGUUCACAAUACAUUAUUACAUGGUCAAUGGUCAACUAUAUUGGCUUUAAAUUAAUUUACUCAAGAAUUCACUUCAUAAAAUAAAACACUUACAAUAAACGGACAAACUGAUGCUCAAAUGAUUGUUGACAUGAAACAAUAUAAUGACUUUUUCCAUAUGUGAGGGAGUGUCAAUGGUGAUGAAUAUCGAUGUGUUUCACACCUGGAGAGAUAAAGACUCAACACAUAUAAUGGACAUCAAUGUGUUAUGUUCUGAAGCAGCUAGAACAAAGAAUGUGAUCAGACUUAAAUAAUAUGUUUUAUUGUUAGUUUAUUUUUCAAAUAAUUCAGACUUUGAUCAACAUGAACACACAGUUACACAUCAUAUGUCUGACAUGUGUCCUGUCUUUAUCAUGAACUGAUUUGUGAAGCACAGAGAUUCAGUGAUGCAGCGACUUUCCUACAAGAAAACUGUAAAUAAUUGUAAGAAUAUCUUGUGCAAAGUAUUAAUUAAAAACAUAAAUAAAUAUGAAUACUAACAAUGCCGAUGUGUAACAAAAACAACACUUUAUUAGUGGUGUAAAAUGCUC